CGACGACGGGUAGCCGGCCUGAGAGGGCGACCGGCCACACUGGGACUGAGACACGGCCCAGACUCCUACGGGAGGCAGCAGUGGGGAAUAUUGCACAAUGGGCGAAAGCCUGAUGCAGCGACGCCGCGUGAGGGAUGACGGCCUUCGGGUUGUAAACCUCUUUCAGCAGGGAAGAAGCGAAAGUGACGGUACCUGCAGAAGAAGCGCCGGCUAACUACGUGCCAGCAGCCGCGGUAAUACGUAGGGCGCAAGCGUUGUCCGGAAUUAUUGGGCGUAAAGAGCUCGUAGGCGGCUUGUCACGUCGGAUGUGAAAGCCCGGGGCUUAACCCCGGGUCUGCAUUCGAUACGGGCUAGCUAGAGUGUGGUAGGGGAGAUCGGAAUUCCUGGUGUAGCGGUGAAAUGCGCAGAUAUCAGGAGGAACACCGGUGGCGAAGGCGGAUCUCUGGGCCAUUACUGACGCUGAGGAGCGAAAGCGUGGGGAGCGAACAGGAUUAGAUACCCUGGUAGUCCACGCCGUAAACGUUGGGAACUAGGUGUUGGCGACAUUCCACGUCGUCGGUGCCGCAGCUAACGCA
Molecule: ribosomal RNA, 575 nt
Filed under: Streptomyces sp.
Lineage: Bacteria; Bacillati; Actinomycetota; Actinomycetes; Kitasatosporales; Streptomycetaceae
Description: bacterial SSU rRNA
Rfam family: Bacterial small subunit ribosomal RNA
Source: RNAcentral